GAUGAACGCUAGCUACAGGCUUAACACAUGCAAGUCGAGGGGAAACGACAACGAAAGCUUGCUUUUGAUGGGCGUCGACCGGCGCACGGGUGAGUAACGCGUAUCCAACCUGCCCAUCACUUGGGAAUAACCUUGCGAAAGUAAGACUAAUACCCAAUGAUAUCCCACGAAGGCAUCGGAAUGGGAUUAAAGAUUUAUCGGUGAUGGAUGGGGAUGCGUCUGAUUAGCUUGUUGGCGGGGUAACGGCCCACCAAGGCAACGAUCAGUAGGGGUUCUGAGAGGAAGGUCCCCCACAUUGGAACUGAGACACGGUCCAAACUCCUACGGGAGGCAGCAGUGAGGAAUAUUGGUCAAUGGGCGAGAGCCUGAACCAGCCAAGUAGCGUGCAGGAAGACGGCCCUAUGGGUUGUAAACUGCUUUUAUAAGGGAAUAAAGUGGGUCACGUGUGACUUUUUGCAUGUACCUUAUGAAUAAGGACCGGCUAAUUCCGUG
RNAcentral lists this ribosomal RNA (492 nucleotides) under uncultured bacterium. RNAcentral's name for it is "partial 16S ribosomal RNA". It matches the Rfam family "Bacterial small subunit ribosomal RNA", at positions 28 to 507 of the family's 1533-position model. The record is from RNAcentral.